AAUUCAUCUGGGGGAAAGAGGAUGAACUGACCUCUUCUAGAAUUGUAAUGCAGCAACCCAACUCCCCUGAGUGCAGCUAGAAAUCUCUCCAACACCGGCUGCAGGACAACGGAACCCUGGGUGAGUGCAUCUAGUUUGAUGGGGGAUUGGUCGGAUGACAGCUGGAACCGUAGUGAUCACAGGAGGAAUCCUAGCGACUGUUAUACUUCUGUGUAUUAUCGGUGUGCUGUGCUACUGCAGACUUCAGUAUUACUGCUGUAAGAAGGAUGAUGCAGCUGAAGAGACCCAAGAAGAUACGGUAUGUAGACAACAUUCACACUUUCCCUGCCACGAUUGCUCUUCAUCACAUCAUGAUAGGCCACCAGCGGCUUAUCUGGCACCAGCCUACUCGCCCUAUGGUUCUCCUUACUUCAUACGGACUGCAAACAGCAUGUGUAACGGAAGAGAUGGCAAUUCCUACACCCCCACUCACUACACAGAGGCAGGACCCCUCCUUGUGAUGGGGGGCACCCCAAGCUUGUCAAGAAGUCUGCAUGCCCUCAGCACCCAGGUUUGAGAAGAGGGCAAGACUUUCACCCUUCCAAAACCUUGGAACAUCAAAGCUUCAUCAACUAAGGAAAAAAAUGGUUCUCAUGCUUGCCAAAAUAAAUGCUUGACAAAAAGACUUUUGAAUGGGUAUUACAGAAACUAAGACUAAAAGCUGAUCAAUCUUCAAAGGUUGAAAAACAGAAGAUAGACUGAAGCAAACCUCUUGUCAGUAUUAACACUUUUACUGCAUUGUAAAAUGGAACACAUUUCAUAUCAGAACAAGGGCGUUCAACGUUGAAUUUAUUCAGUCUGUGAAAUGUCUGCCUGUGUUCUAAUUUCUAAAGUUCUUGUAGACUUAAAUCUGUAGCAGUUUGUAAUCUGAUGACCUCUAGCAUGUGAAUGACUUGCUGAUAUUUUAUAAUGAUAUAUACUGAUUAUUCCUGUUACUGUUUAUCUAUUUUGUAAAACUAAAAGGUGCCAAAUCUGCAUUAAUUCUAAGCUAAUAACAAAUUCCUAGAGUUAUUUAUACUUUCCUAUUAGACAGAUAGGAUAGAUUAUUAAAAAAUAGUGAACGUUUUUUUCAUACGGUCUUAUUAAUUGGUGAAAGCUGUUAAUUAGAGUCAGUCCAGAGUUCUCAUAACAUUUAGAAUAAAAAACAAAACAAACAAUUGUAUAUGUGUUGUAGAAAUAACAAGAUGCUCAAGUGGAAUCUGAUAAGAUUAAAGAGAAAUCAAUAAAACAUAUGUAAUAUUUUGUUAAAGUAAAA
Long non-coding RNA from Bombina bombina (fire-bellied toad), 1294 nucleotides. RefSeq lists it as uncharacterized. NCBI's taxonomy places the organism in Eukaryota, Metazoa, Chordata, Amphibia, Anura, Bombinatoridae. The record is from RefSeq and is a predicted model, not a curated record. The transcript is spliced from 3 exons.